This 450-nucleotide ribosomal RNA is filed under the name uncultured Glomeromycotina. Its description in RNAcentral is "SSU rRNA". It matches the Rfam family "Eukaryotic small subunit ribosomal RNA", at positions 569 to 1021 of the family's 1831-position model. Lineage: Eukaryota; Fungi; Glomeromycota. The record is from RNAcentral.
AGCAGCCGCGGUAAUUCCAGCUCCAAUAGCGUAUAUUAAAGUUGUUGCAGUUAAAAAGCUCGUAGUUGAAUUUCGGGAUUUGUCAGUUGGUCGGGCUUCACUGUCCGUAUUGACUUGAUGGAUUCUUACCUUCUGAAUAACCAGCAUGCUAUUAAGUUAGUGCGUUGGGGAAGCAGAUCUAUUACCUUGAAAAAAUUAGAGUGCUUAAAGCGAGCUAGUGCUUGAAUAGAUUAGCAUGGAAUAAUAAAAUAGGACGGCAUGGUUCUAUUUUGUUGGUUUCUAGGAUCACCGUAAUGAUUAAUAGGGAUAGUUGGGGGCAUUAGUAUUCAAUUGUCAGAGGUGAAAUUCUUGGAUUUAUUGAAGACUAACUUCUGCGAAAGCAUUUGCCAAGGAUGUUUUCAUUAAUCAAGAACGAAAGUUAGGGGAUCGAAGACGAUCAGAUACCGUCGU